ACUCCUACGGGAGGCAGCAGUGGGGAAUAUUGCACAAUGGGCGCAAGCCUGAUGCAGCCAUGCCGCGUGUGUGAAGAAGGCCUUCGGGUUGUAAAGCACUUUCAGUCGUGAGGAAGGUAGUGUAGUUAAUAGCUGCAUUAUUUGUACGUUAGCGACAGAAGAAGCACCGGCUAACUCCGUGCCAGCAGCCGCGGUAAGUACGGAGGGUGCGAGCGUUAAUCGGAAUUACUGGGCGUAAAGCGCAUGCAGGUGGUUGUUAAGUCAGAUGUGAAAGCCCGGGGCUCAACCUCGGAAUAGCAUUUGAAACUGGCAGACUAGAGUACUGUAGAGGGGGUUAGGAAUUUCAGGUGUAGCGGUGAAAUGCGUAGAGAUCUGAAGGAA
RNAcentral lists this ribosomal RNA (381 nucleotides) under uncultured bacterium. RNAcentral describes it as "bacterial SSU rRNA". It matches the Rfam family "Bacterial small subunit ribosomal RNA", at positions 335 to 706 of the family's 1533-position model. The record is from RNAcentral.